This is a non-coding RNA of Ailuropoda melanoleuca (giant panda), 45 nucleotides long. The record is from Rfam. Lineage: Eukaryota; Metazoa; Chordata; Mammalia; Carnivora; Ursidae.
GAAAUGGCCCUUUUCAGGGCCACGGAUACAUCUAAGGAGUCACAG